AGUGAACGCUGGCGGUAGGCCUAACACAUGCAAGUCGAACGGCAGCACAGUAAGAGCUUGCUCUUACGGGUGGCGAGUGGCGGACGGGUGAGGAAUACAUCGGAAUCUACUUUUUCGUGGGGGCUAACGUAGGGAAACUUACGCUAAUACCGCAUACGACCUACGGGUGCAAGCAGGGGAUCUUCGGACCUUGCGCGAUUGAAUGAGCCGAUGUCGGAUUAGCUAGUUGGCGGGGUAAAGGCCCACCAAGGCGACGAUCCGUCGCUGGUCGGAGAGGAUGACCAGCCACACGGGAACGGAGACAGGGUCCAGACCCCUAGGGGAGGCAGCAGUGGGGAAUUUUGGAAAAGGGGGGCAAGCCUGCUCCAGCAAUACCGCGUGGGGAAAGAAGGCUUUCGGUUGGUAAAGCCCGUUUGUUGGGAAAGAAAAGCAGCAGGUGAAUACCCCGAUGUUUUGACGGUACCCAAAUAAUAAGCACCGGCUAACUUCGUG
This 492-nucleotide ribosomal RNA is filed under the name uncultured bacterium. Its description in RNAcentral is "partial 16S ribosomal RNA". It matches the Rfam family "Bacterial small subunit ribosomal RNA", at positions 29 to 507 of the family's 1533-position model. The record is from RNAcentral.